UUGCUUAGGCAGCACAUAUACUAAAAUUGGAACAAUACAGAGAAGAUUAGCGUGGCCCCCAAGCAUGGAUAUCACGCAAAUUUGUGAAGUGUUCCAUAUUUUU
Molecule: small nuclear RNA, 103 nt
Organism: Cynocephalus volans (Philippine flying lemur)
Lineage: Eukaryota; Metazoa; Chordata; Mammalia; Dermoptera; Cynocephalidae
Source: RefSeq, a predicted model, not a curated record